This 87-nucleotide ribosomal RNA is filed under the name Lactobacillus delbrueckii. The record is from RNAcentral. Lineage: Bacteria; Bacillati; Bacillota; Bacilli; Lactobacillales; Lactobacillaceae. RNAcentral also lists the same sequence under 3 other names.
GUUCCCAUGCCGAACACAGUAGUUAAGCUUCUUAACGCCGAAAGUAGUUGGUGGGAAACUGCCUGCGAGGAUAGGAAGCUGCCGCGC